Molecule: ribosomal RNA, 695 nt
Filed under: uncultured bacterium
Lineage: Bacteria
Description: bacterial SSU rRNA
Rfam family: Bacterial small subunit ribosomal RNA
Source: RNAcentral
GAUUGAACGCUGGCGGCAUGCCUUACACAUGCAAGUCGAACGGCAGCACGGGUACUUGUACCUGGUGGCGAGUGGCGAACGGGUGAGUAAUACAUCGGAACGUACCUUAUCGUGGGGGAUAACGCAGCGAAAGCUGUGUUAAUACCGCAUACGCCCUGAGGGGGAAAGCGGGGGAUCGAAAGACCUCGCGCGAUUAGAGCGGCCGAUGCCUGAUUAGCUUGUUGGUGGGGUAAAAGCCCACCAAGGCGACGAUCAGUAGCUGGUCUGAGAGGACGAUCAGCCACACUGGGACUGAGACACGGCCCAGACUCCUACGGGAGGCAGCAGUGGGGGAUUUUGGACAAUGGGGGCAACCCUGAUCCAGCAAUGCCGCGUGAGUGAAGAAGGCCUUCGGGUUGUAAAGCUCUUUUGUCAGGGAAGAAACACCGGCUCUAACACAGUCCGGGAAUGACGGUACCUGAAGAAUAAGCACCGGCUAACUACGUGCCAGCAGCCGCGGUAAUACGUAGGGUGCAAGCGUUAAUCGGAAUUACUGGGCGUAAAGCGUGCGCAGGCGGUUAUACAAGACAGGCGUGAAAUCCCCGGGCUUAACCUGGGAAUGGCGCCUGUGACUGUAUAGCUAGGGUGUGUCAGANGGGGGUAGAAUUCCACGUGUAGCAGUGAAAUGCGUAGAUAUGUGGAGGAAUACCAAUGGC